GACAAACAGAUCAAAUUAAGAUUAAUGAUAGUAAAAAAGGAGGUUAUAUAGAUUAUUUCGAAAAAUAAUGCUUUUUAGGGAGGUGGAAUUUAGAUAAAAAGAGGUAAUUUAGGUUUUUCUUUUUUUUGGGGCCUCGAAAUUUUGUUAUGAGACCGGGAUUAGAUACCCCGUUAUUCAAAAUGUAAACUUUGAUUGUAUUUAUAAUUUACUUGAGUAUUACGAGUAUAUAAGGGUUUUCUUUAUUAUAUCACUUAAAACUCAAAGAACUUGGCGGUGCCUUAUAUCCUUUCAGGGGAACCUGUCCUGUAAUCGAUAGUCCACGAUUUAACUUACUUUUUUUUGAAUUUUAUCAGCUUGUAUACCGUCGUCGUCAGGUUACCUUUAAGAGUUAUGGAGUUAUCGGAGAGAAUAAGGAGAGAAUUAAAUUUUAUUAUUAGUUAUAUAAAUUGAGAUUGAUUUUUGUAGUGAUUCUAGACGUCAGAUCAAGGUGCAGCCUAUAAGGGAGUAGAGAUGGGUUACAAUAAUAAGUUGUUAUAUGGAUUUUUGUUGUAAGUAGCAAAAUUGAAGGAGGACUUGGAAGUAAUUANUUUAAAGAUAAGAGAGCUUAAAUGAAAAUAGGCUCUGAGGUGCGC
This 632-nucleotide ribosomal RNA is filed under the name Solariellidae sp. SW-2012-2. Its description in RNAcentral is "partial 12S ribosomal RNA". Lineage: Eukaryota; Metazoa; Mollusca; Gastropoda; Trochida; Solariellidae. The record is from RNAcentral.